GGGGAAUUUUGGACAAUGGGGGCAACCCUGAUCCAGCCAUGCCGCGUGAGUGAAGAAGGCCUUCGGGUUGUAAAGCUCUUUCGGCCGGGAAGAAAUCGCGCCUUCUAAUACGGGGUGUGGAUGACGGUACCGGAAGAAGAAGCACCGGCUAACUACGUGCCAGCAGCCGCGGUAAUACGUAGGGUGCGAGCGUUAAUCGGAAUUACUGGGCGUAAAGGGUGCGCAGGCGGCGCCAUAAGACAGCUGUGAAAUCCCCGGGCUUAACCUGGGAACUGCGGUUGUGACUGUGGUGCUUGAGUGCGGCAGAGGGGGGUGGAAUUCCACGUGUAGCAGUGAAAUGCGUAGAGAUGUGGAGGAACACCGAUGGCGAAGGCAGCCCCCUGGGUCGACACUGACGCUCAUGCACGAAAGCGUGGGGAGCAAAC
This 425-nucleotide ribosomal RNA is filed under the name uncultured bacterium. RNAcentral describes it as "bacterial SSU rRNA". It matches the Rfam family "Bacterial small subunit ribosomal RNA", at positions 356 to 773 of the family's 1533-position model. The record is from RNAcentral.